Long non-coding RNA from Mastomys coucha (southern multimammate mouse), 367 nucleotides. RefSeq lists it as uncharacterized. The record is from RefSeq and is a predicted model, not a curated record. Lineage: Eukaryota; Metazoa; Chordata; Mammalia; Rodentia; Muridae. The transcript has 2 exons.
AAGCCUCUGACUGGUUUUGUUACUAAAGGAAAAUGUACCACAGCAGGCUGACGGAACUCCUAGAACCGAUGUGAAGGGCGGAGGUUGAUACUAUGCAGCUGCUUUGCCCUGGUUCAGGAAUAAAUCGGGAGAAAUCUGUGAAGCACAGAGCAACCUACUCAAGUGUGAAGCAAUCAUUUUCUCCACUGACGUCUUCUAGCAUUUUCUUUCACAGUGUAUUUACGGGAUUCCUAGUUCACCAAAGUUGCUUCCUAAGGCUGUGCAGCACUGGGUUUCUUUUCUGGAGUCAUCGAGACCAAUUCUGUUUGCUAAAUAAAUUCCAGGCAAGAAUGCUUUGACUCUUGCCCAGGCAAGGCAAGGGUCUAAU